GUCCAGUGGUGCUGUGGGUCAGUACAUCUGACUGUUAACCAGAUGGUUGGAGGUUCAAGCCCACCCAGGGAUG
Molecule: non-coding RNA, 73 nt
Organism: Podarcis lilfordi (Lilford's wall lizard)
Lineage: Eukaryota; Metazoa; Chordata; Lepidosauria; Squamata; Lacertidae
Source: the annotation of a GenBank genome assembly